GUUAAGGUGGCAGACCUUGGAUAAUUGCAAAAGAUCUAAGCUCUUUACACGGAGGUUCAACUCCUCCCCUUAGCA
This 75-nucleotide transfer RNA is filed under the name Hypoatherina tsurugae (cobaltcap silverside). RNAcentral's name for it is "tRNA-Leu". It matches the Rfam family "tRNA". From Rfam's summary of the family: Transfer RNA (tRNA) molecules are approximately 80 nucleotides in length. Their secondary structure includes four short double-helical elements and three loops (D, anti-codon, and T loops). Lineage: Eukaryota; Metazoa; Chordata; Actinopteri; Atheriniformes; Atherinidae. The record is from RNAcentral.